GGAAUCUUCCACAAUGGACGCAAGUCUGAUGGAGCAACGCCGCGUGAGUGAAGAAGGUCUUCGGAUCGUAAAACUCUGUUGUUAGAGAAGAACACGAGUGAGAGUAACUGUUCAUUCGAUGACGGUAUCUAACCAGCAAGUCACGGCUAACUACGUGCCCG
Molecule: ribosomal RNA, 161 nt
Filed under: uncultured bacterium
Lineage: Bacteria
Description: partial 16S rRNA
Rfam family: Bacterial small subunit ribosomal RNA
Source: RNAcentral